This 481-nucleotide ribosomal RNA is filed under the name uncultured bacterium. RNAcentral describes it as "bacterial SSU rRNA". It matches the Rfam family "Bacterial small subunit ribosomal RNA", at positions 501 to 985 of the family's 1533-position model. The record is from RNAcentral.
CUACGUGCCAGCAGCCGCGGUAAUACGGAAGGUUCGGGCGUUAUCCGGAUUUAUUGGGUUUAAAGGGAGCGUAGGCCGGAGAUUAAGUGUGUUGUGAAAUGUAGACGCUCAACGUCUGACUUGCAGCGCAUACUGGUUUCCUUGAGUACGCACAACGUUGGCGGAAUUCGUCGUGUAGCGGUGAAAUGCUUAGAUAUGACGAAGAACUCCGAUUGCGAAGGCAGCUGACGGGAGCGCAACUGACGCUUAAGCUCGAAGGUGCGGGUAUCGAACAGGAUUAGAUACCCUGGUAGUCCGCACAGUAAACGAUGGAUGCCCGCUGUUGGUACCUGGUAUCAGCGGCUAAGCGAAAGCAUUAAGCAUCCCACCUGGGGAGUACGCCGGCAACGGUGAAACUCAAAGGAAUUGACGGGGGCCCGCACAAGCGGAGGAACAUGUGGUUUAAUUCGAUGAUACGCGAGGAACCUUACCCGGGCUUGAA